GCAGGUAGCAGAUUCAUUCUGGUAUUCUGCCCUGGGCUAUGGGCUUGUCAGAUAUUGCAAGCAAAACAGAAUUGAGUCUAUUUAUUACUUGGAUGGGAGACCUCCACGGAAAAUCCACUACGUGCU
This 126-nucleotide ribosomal RNA is filed under the name Sphenodon punctatus (tuatara). The record is from RNAcentral. Lineage: Eukaryota; Metazoa; Chordata; Lepidosauria; Sphenodontia; Sphenodontidae.